RNAcentral lists this unclassified non-coding RNA (1535 nucleotides) under Hevea brasiliensis (rubber tree). Lineage: Eukaryota; Viridiplantae; Streptophyta; Magnoliopsida; Malpighiales; Euphorbiaceae. The record is from RNAcentral.
GAAAAUUGUCUCCCCCUUGGUAUGACCUCUAAAUCUGUGAACUGCACAAGCUGCUUCUUUCCAAACCACAACAUACAUGCACCAGCCCCCAUCCUUGCAGUCUAGAAAGCAGAGAUAAAAGAAAAAAUAAAUUUAAAAAGAAAAGGUAUGCCGUUCUAUCUCUCCCAUAAAACAACCGAACGGUGGCAUUGGUGUCAGGCCCCUGUAUGUGAUGACUAAGUUAAUAACUACCGUCAUGAGUAACCUCUGAAUUGUAUGAAGAAAGUAAUGCACCUAAACACGCAUUCCUUUUCUUUAUCCAGCCACAUCCACAUCAUUGCACCCCUUUUUCCUGUAUCCAUGCACUAAAAGAACCACAUUUUAUAGCCUUUCAGACGACAUCAUCGAAAGAAACUUGUACUUCUGUACCACCCCUUGACUUCAAGCUCGAAGCAGUAGCCAAACAUUGGAGCAAUGCUAGUACCUCAGCAGUAUCAUCCAAGUAGUACCUAGCUUUGCUUGGUUUUUGGCCAACAGUGCAUGCAAAGAUCUCUGGCGCUGAACAAAAUGACAAACUAGAAGCUGUUCUUGAUAUGCUUUCAAACAUGUCUUCAUCAGAUCUAUCAUCCCCAAUGCACAUCACAAAGUCUGGGGAUUUCCCAUUACUGAUCAUUGCAGAAAGAACUCUCUCUGCAACAAGACCUUUAGUAACUCCCUGUGGCUUUACUUCAACUAUAUGCUGACCCCUCUUCACAACUACUGGCUCAUUUGCAAGGACAUUUUCAAGAUGAUCCAACAAUUCUUUGGCCUGGCAAGAUCCAAAAUCUGGAUCAGCGUAUUGAUGAUGCCACACCAAGGCACUCUCCUUGGUCUCUAUAUAGGAGCCAUCAGUUGCUUCUGUAUACAAUUUUAUCACAGGUUCUGCAAUUUUUUUCCAAUCAAAAUCUGCCACCAAGGAACUGGUUUCCCAACUGGACAUCCUAUUCCACCUCAUUAAGUAUCCAUGCUCCGCUGCUAUACCAAGAUUCUCACAUUGAACAAACCAUUCACUCAGAGAAUCUUUCCCCCUUCCACUAACUAUAAACACAGUGUUCUUAGGGUCACUACAAAGGUUGUUCAGGACAGAUAUAACUUCAGCACUGGGAGUUUUAACAAUGGAAGUUUGAGGCACCACUGUUCCAUCAUAAUCCAAAAAUAUCGCCCUUCUAUAUGUCCUCUUGUAUGCAGAGACAAUAUGUUCAUUGGAAAGCUUCCUAAAGCUUGGUGAAAGUGACAAAAUCCUAAAAUUCAGCCCAAAACCAAUACCCCAGCAACGUUUACUGUAAUGAUCUUUGCAAGCUCGCUCCAAGUCCUGCAUAAAACUGUAGGCCCAGUAUGCCACAUCAUGGAAGCUGAUAUAUCGAUAGUGCUUCUCAUGCCUCAACUGCUUCUCUAAAUCAGGCAUGGUGAGGGCCAGAUUUAAUGCAUCUGCUACAGCUUCAACAUCCCAUGGGUUUACCCUUAUUGCACCACUUAAAGAUGGCGAGCAACCGAUAAACUCUGAAACAACAAUUGUA